This 740-nucleotide small RNA is filed under the name Pan troglodytes (chimpanzee). RNAcentral describes it as "retained intron". The record is from RNAcentral. Lineage: Eukaryota; Metazoa; Chordata; Mammalia; Primates; Hominidae.
AUCAGCGUGGGAUUCACGGCGAAAUGAGACUGUUCGUGAGUGAGGGCGUCCCGGGUUGCUUGCCGGUGCUGGCCGCCGCCGGGAGAGCCCGGGGCAGAGCAGAGGUGCUCAUCAGCACUGUAGGCCCGGAAGAUUGUGUGGUCCCGUUCCUGACCCGGCCUAAGGUCCCUGUCUUGCAGCUGGAUAGUGGCAACUACCUCUUCUCCACUAGUGCAAUCUGCCGAUAUUUUUUUUUGUUAUCUGGCUGGGAGCAAGAUGACCUCACUAACCAGUGGCUGGAAUGGGAAGCGACAGAGCUGCAGGUAGGACUAAGGUAUGGGGGAUGUCAGGCAGGCCCUUGUUCUGCGUGGCCAUCCUAACUCAUGUCCCCUGCAUUUUAGCCAGCUUUGUCUGCUGCCCUGUACUAUUUAGUGGUCCAAGGCAAGAAGGGGGAAGAUGUUCUUGGUUCAGUGCGGAGAGCCCUGACUCACAUUGACCACAGCUUGAGUCGUCAGAACUGUCCUUUCCUGGCUGGGGUGAGUUGGGUCUUGAGAUGAGGACUGGGGAAGGCUUAUGGUGUAAGGAUUAAGAGGGAAGACUGUAUUCAGAGUGUUCGAACCCAACACUGCCACUUACUAGUAGUGUAAUCUUGGCAAAUCACUUAAUCUCUCUAAUCCUCAAUUUUUUUCAGUUGUGAAAUGGGAUAAUAUUAGUACCUAUCUCAGUGAGUUAUUGUGAGGAUUAAGUGAGAUCAUAUAAAG